UGCCGUCAGCAGCCCUUCCUGCACGCUCGAUGGCCACCAGAUGGUCAAAUCUGCCCGGAAGCAAUGGUGGAUGAGUUGUAUGGAAACCUUGUCAGCAAGGUUACAAGGAUGUGGUCUUCCCCAACCCCAUGCACUCAAUCUGGGGUACCAUAUACAUACCUUGGAGACUUGGGGUCCCCAUCUUUGCACAAAAAUGCCUGAGCAUCUUCCAUUGAUCCACUCUGCUAGGGUGGUCAGAAGACUUGCUCAGUCUCACGGAGCUCAAGGAGACAGUGGUGCCCUGCUGAGCCUGGCCCUGUACUUCCCACGUGUUUCUCCAAGCACACCUGCCCUCUUCUUGUCUGAAAUGUUGAUCGCUACAGCAUGAUAUGAUGGCAGAGUUUCUGGGCCCCCGAGAGGCUGAGUAGAGCAGUGCCCCUCUCUACUAAUCCAGAACUCUCUGAAGACCUGCCCUGUGCUGUUACAUGGAGGCAGCACAACCUUCUACAGCAUUUGAACGUAGCCUGUUGAGGCUCAUUUGUUAGACUGGUUUAGCAAAACCUAACAAACAGAAGAAUGUAUAAAGAGGAAAGGAAAUGGUAUGCAUUCAUUGGGACGUUUCCCCACGAGCCCAAGACAAGGUCUGCGGUACAAUUAUUCCAGGAGACCAUAAUUCCAGAAAACACAGCAGAAGAUGAGACCCAGAAAAACAUGAAAGGAUUGAGAGUGAGCCAGUUAACCCUAAGGCAACUGGAACUCUGUGUUGCUUGAGAGCCACUAAGAAGCCUUGGAAGAUGCACCCUAGACCUGCCCUAUCAGAGGACCAGAGGCUACCCACUUGUUCACAGGCUUCUGUCCCCUGUUGGGGGGAACUUCAUUGCACUCAUUGGACUGUGCCUCCUAUAAUAGAGAGAGAGGUAGACUGUCCUCUAGUGGAGGAGUCGAGCAAAUGGGGAGCCAUCCAUCACCUCUGUAGAGGAGCUCAGUCUCAGGCAACACAGAUGAGGGCAGCAGCUAGUGCUAAGGUUGGUCAGCCAGGCCCAGCUGAGCCACACCACUUCCUGACUCUUGUCCCUACUGGCAUGCCUCUGUCCACCGUCAUGUCUCUCCCGACGAGUGCCAUACGGAGGCAGAGUGUGACUCAGCAUGUCCACCGAGCUGAGCUGCCUCAGAGCAGGCCAAAGGGAUGGGAAGGGGCGUCGGCUUGCAGUUGAGGUUCACAGAGAGAAUUAAGGAUGCUGGGUUUGCAUCCCCACUAUGGAGGCACCACUCCAGACCGAGUCAGGAACAGUUCCAGUGCAGGACCUGGCACAUGAUAGCUGUGUGUCCUUCGUUCUCUAUCUGGGUUUUCCUACAUGAAAAACGAGGCGGGUAGCGAGAUGGGGGAACUCUGGGGAAAGAGACUCUCAACCACUGGUUGUUGGAGUGGGGACUGGAAGUUGGGGCCUGGGAGAUGAUUUUUUUUCUUAGACUUUUUACAAUUCUCUCAUCUGGCCUCUGGCAUCCCUAAUAAAGUAGUCACAGGUAUGUGUAAAAUUAAAUUGUGGUAUUGUUUAUGGUAUCCAAUAAUGGAUUAUUAGUCAAAUGGUGGCAUACUCACACAAUGAAAUUUUAGCCAAUCAAAGGAAUGUCGUGAACUGGAUGUGGUGGCUCUUUCCUGUGAUCCCAGCUCUCCUCCUGGGAGACUGAGGCAGGUGGAUUGCAGAGAGUUCAAAGCUAGCCUGGGCUACAAAGUGAGACUCUGUCUCAAACAGACAGACAGACAGCCAGUAUGUAGAUGUUGUAGAGAUCAUUUCAUGAUAUGGAAAGUUUAUUAAAAAGUCCUAAAAUAGUAUCAUGGUGGGGUUCCAUUACAUAUAUUCCUGUAUGCAAAGAUUUGAGACCAAAGAAAAGGACUUUAAUGGCAAAUACAAGCCUAUUAAUAAUUUAUUGAUUGUGAUGGAUUCUGGUAUUUAAAAAAGCGUGUGGGUAGGUGUGUGUGUGUUUGUAUGUGUUCUUGUGCAUGUGUGCUUGUGUACAUGUGCAUAUGGAGGCCUGAGAUUGAUGCCAUGUGUCUUCUUUGAUUGCUUACUCCAUUUCCUUUCUUUUCUUUUCUUUCUUUCUUUCUCUCUCUCUCUCUCUCUCUCUCUCUCUCUCUCUCUCUCUCUCUCUUUCUUUCUUUCUUUCUUGAGGCAGGGUCUCUCACUGAUUUGGCUAGGCUGAUUAGCCAGUGAGCCUCAAGGAUCUACCUGUCUGCCUCCUUACUUUUGGGAUUCCAAGCCCACACUGAUGUCCCUGCUUCCUACAUGUAUGCUUGGUACUGAAGCCAGCUCCUCCCUCUGCUGACACGGCAUGCCUUAACUAACUGAGCCAUCUCCUCGGGCUCCAGGACUCUGGUCAUUUUUAUUGAUUCUUCACGUUCAUACACUUUCCUUCUAUAACAUAAUUUUAUUAAUUAAUUAGAUUCACUUUUGAGACUGGGUCAAACCCCGGUCUUGGAUUAAUGGUCCUCCUGCCUCAGCCUCCUAAAUACAGGGGUGAGAGGCAUGCACCACCAUCAUGGCUAUUUUCAAGUGUCUUCUGAUGUUCCUACAAUAACAUUGUUGACAAGAUAGAGAAGAAUAACAGCAUUUUAUAAAAUAAAAUUGGGCAUAACAUGUUUAUUGGAGUGUGAGGAGUACUAAAGAGAAAGAGGAGAGAGUUUGGGCAACUGAAAGCUGUGUGUGUAUGAUGAUUUUACUACCCGUGCAAAAACCAUUACUAUAAAUCUUGCACCCUCCAUAUCCUCCAGACACCUCAAAUGCAAGUCAAUAUCCUCUUUAAAAUGACUGAGUGGCUCUAUUAAUAAGCUCAGUGAGUAAUGCCCAGCACAAAGUACACCGUCAUUAAUCUUACAUCUGCUUAUUUGAGUGGGAAUCAAAAUCGUCUAUUGUUCGUGCAGAUUAAAGAUGGUUUUUCACAGAUGAAAUCAGCACAUCAGACAGUCAUAAAUCUGCCUCCACUGGGACUCAUGCUUCAAGCCUCAAACCCCAGUCUGCAGGAGGGCCUAUGGGAGGCGCUGCAUCUGACCUUUCUGCUCACCCAUACUAGGCAAUGGGUGAACCGAGGGGGCAGUAAAUCUACUGUCAACUCCUUCAUUUAAACUCAGAGCUAAUCUCAGAGUUAAUAAUUCAUCUUUCCUCAUGACGCCAUGUUAAGUAGGGACGCCAUCAGCUUGGGUAAGACUGUCUGGGAGGGAGAAAUUAUUAUGGAAAAAAAAUUAAAAUACCUACCCAGGACAGUGUGGGAGUAUUCUUUUAAAAAAAAAACUCAUGUAUUUACUUGUGACUCUGUGUGUGUGUGUGUGUGUGUGUGUGUGUGUGUGUGUGUGUGUGUGUCUGUGUGUGCACACACAUGCAUGUGCCUAUGUGUGUGCUGUAGCAUGCAUGUGGAGGUCAGAGGACAACUUUUGGGAGCUGAUUCUUUCCUACUACAUGGGGCCUGGGGGUCAAAUUCGAGUCAUUAGCUUGCUAGCA
Peromyscus californicus insignis is the source of this 3473-nucleotide long non-coding RNA. RefSeq lists it as uncharacterized. The transcript has 3 exons. The record is from RefSeq and is a predicted model, not a curated record. Lineage: Eukaryota; Metazoa; Chordata; Mammalia; Rodentia; Cricetidae.